Molecule: ribosomal RNA, 391 nt
Filed under: Bacillariophyta sp.
Lineage: Eukaryota; Bacillariophyta
Description: partial small subunit ribosomal RNA
Rfam family: Eukaryotic small subunit ribosomal RNA
Source: RNAcentral
AUUCCAGCUCCAAUAGCGUAUAUUAAAGUUGUUGCAGUUAAAAAGCUCGUAGUUGGAUUUCUGGCGAGGCUUGGUCGGUCGGCGCUUAGCGUGUGAACCGUGUCGAGCCUUGCCAUCCUGAGGAAGAACCUUGUUGGCAUUAAGUUGUCGACUUGGGUACUCCUCUCGUUUACUGUGAAAAAAUUAGAGUGUUCAAAGCAGGCUUAUGCCGUUGAAUAGUCCAGCAUGGAAUAAUAAGACAGGACCUCGGUGCUAUUUUGUUGGUUUGCGCACCAAGGUAAUGAUUAAUAGGGACAGUUGGGGGUAUUCGUAUUCUGCAGUCAGAGGUGAAAUUCUUGGAUUUACGGACGACGAACUACUGCGAAAGCAUUUACCAAGGAUGUUUUCAUCA